RNAcentral lists this non-coding RNA (30 nucleotides) under Homo sapiens (human). The record is from RNAcentral. Lineage: Eukaryota; Metazoa; Chordata; Mammalia; Primates; Hominidae.
UAGGGACGAGAGUUUGAGGGUAAUGAUAAA